Molecule: small nucleolar RNA, 80 nt
Filed under: Phocoena sinus (vaquita)
Lineage: Eukaryota; Metazoa; Chordata; Mammalia; Artiodactyla; Phocoenidae
Also listed under: 1 other name
Description: Small nucleolar RNA SNORD20 (ENSPSNG00000007587.1)
Rfam family: Small nucleolar RNA SNORD20
About the family: U20 is a C/D box small nucleolar RNA that is encoded in intron 11 of the nucleolin gene in human, mouse and rat.
Source: Rfam by way of RNAcentral
UGGACAUGAUGACUGAUUAUCUGAGAAACAGCUGAUGAAAGCUCACGCAAAGCCCUCUAGAUAGUCAAGUUCUGAUCCAG